GACUUUCACAUAAACUACAGAAUUCCCAUUGAUCUACUUUAUUUAGUAGUUUAUUAAAAAGAAAGUUAUUAAAAAGUUUAUUAAAAAGAACUAUAUUACAUUUUUAUACACAUAACUUAAAUGUUCAUGAUUGGAUAAUUAAUUUCCCUAAAUUCUUCAUAGUAAUGGUUGACUUUAUAACUGCAUUUAUGUUAUAUGACUGAUUGGAGCAUUUAUACAAAUAAAAAGAACUAUUAACUAAUAGAAAAGCAUUCUGUUCAGCUGAAAAAUAUUUUUAAAACACUGAUGACUAAGUACAUAAAUAAUUCAAGAGGUUCCUUGUAUCAUCUCUACUGAAGCAUAGUCGCCAUGGAAAGCCUCAAUCCAAAUGGUGAAAAUACAGCAAAGUUAUAAACAGCAGAAAAUACACUGAAACAUAGAAUUUGCUACUUAAAUGUUUCUAUGAAAAAAUCAAGAAACCCAGAACUGUACUACAAUCCAGUGGUGAUGCAGAGGGGGUGCAUAGGGGUGCAUGUGCACCC
Gavialis gangeticus (Gharial) is the source of this 521-nucleotide long non-coding RNA. RefSeq lists it as uncharacterized. The record is from RefSeq and is a predicted model, not a curated record. The transcript is spliced from 3 exons. NCBI's taxonomy places the organism in Eukaryota, Metazoa, Chordata, Crocodylia, Gavialidae.